CCUACGGGGGGCAGCAGUGGGGAAUAUUGCACAAUGGGCGCAAGCCUGAUGCAGCCAUGCCGCGUGUGUGAAGAAGGCCUUCGGGUUGUAAAGCACUUUCAGCGGGGAGGAAGGCGGUGAGGUUAAUAACCUCAUAGAUUGACGUUACCAGCAGAAGAAGCAACGGCUAACUCCGUGCCAGCAGCCGCGGUAAUACGGAGGGUGCAAGCGUUAAUCGGAAUUACUGGGCGUAAAGCGCACGCAGGCGGUCUGUCAAGUCGGAUGUGAAAUCCCCGGGCUCAACCUGGGAACUGCAUUCGGUACUGGCAGGCUAGAGUCUUGUAGAGGGGGGUAGAAUUCCAGGUGUAGCGGUGAAAUGCGUAGAGAUCUGGAGGAAUACCGGUGGCGAAGGCGGCCCCCUGGACAAAGACUGACGCUCAGGUGCGAAAGCGUGGGGAGCAAACAGGAUUAGAUACCCGAGUAGUC
RNAcentral lists this ribosomal RNA (465 nucleotides) under uncultured Klebsiella sp. RNAcentral's name for it is "bacterial SSU rRNA". It matches the Rfam family "Bacterial small subunit ribosomal RNA", at positions 338 to 795 of the family's 1533-position model. Lineage: Bacteria; Pseudomonadati; Pseudomonadota; Gammaproteobacteria; Enterobacterales; Enterobacteriaceae. The record is from RNAcentral.